Arachis ipaensis is the source of this 192-nucleotide non-coding RNA. Lineage: Eukaryota; Viridiplantae; Streptophyta; Magnoliopsida; Fabales; Fabaceae. The record is from RefSeq and is a predicted model, not a curated record.
UUGCAGUGUGAUAGCGAUCCUUCUACUUGGAGCUACAUCAAUGAUCAUGUUCAUUUUCAUAUAGGACAGUGGUAUGCUUCACUUGGAAUAUAUGAUGUGGCUGUCAAGCAUAAGAUGGAAAUCUUGGCCUGCAGUCACCAGUCCAAGGCAACACAGGAAUUAUUCCUUAGUGACUUUCUUCAAACUGUGAAG